GCCUACGGGGGGCAGCAGUAGGGAAUCUUCCACAAUGGGCGAAAGCCUGAUGGAGCAACGCCGCAUGGGUGAAGAAGGUCUUCGGAUUGUAAAACCCUGUUGUUAGAGAAGAAAGUGCGUGAGAGUAACUGUUCACGUUUCGACGGUAUCUAACCAGGAAGCCACGGCUAACUACGUGCCAGCAGCCGCGGUAAUACGUAGGUGGCAAGCGUUAUCCGGAUUUAUUGGGCGUAAAGGGAACGCAGGCGGUCUUUUAAGUCUGAUGUGAAAGCCUUCGGCUUAACCGGAGUAGUGCAUUGGAAAUU
RNAcentral lists this ribosomal RNA (305 nucleotides) under uncultured bacterium. RNAcentral describes it as "bacterial SSU rRNA". It matches the Rfam family "Bacterial small subunit ribosomal RNA", at positions 337 to 634 of the family's 1533-position model. The record is from RNAcentral.